This 797-nucleotide long non-coding RNA is filed under the name Brassica napus (rape). RNAcentral's name for it is "long non-coding RNA (BNAP_LNC014029)". The record is from RNAcentral. Lineage: Eukaryota; Viridiplantae; Streptophyta; Magnoliopsida; Brassicales; Brassicaceae.
AAUUACUAAAACAAUGGGCUCCUUAAUACAAUCAUAUCUUCUCCAAUAAACCUCAAAGCAGUGUAACCAAUUUGACGAGGCUAUUAGCUCAAUUUACAAACAUUGACACUCACCAAAGCCUGAGCUACGUCCACCAUGUUGCUGAGGUUGAAGAGGAAGAAAAACUUCACAGAAAUCUGAAAUUCUAGAUGCUCGCCAUCAACCCACUCAAGAUCAUCCAAUCAUUACCUACUACACUAACCAUGAACUCUCGGCCCUAUUGAAAAGCCACCCAAAUACAAGUUUUGUGUUUCAAUAUCACCUAGAAAAAAAAUUUCAAACACAAACAAAUUUUGAUAGACACAAUUGACGUAGCGCGGACAAACCACUAGUUAAAAAUAGUUUUGGGUGUAAGCGACGGAAAUGGAGAAAGAAAACAAAAGUUGGAUAAAAAGUUUAGCGCCAAUUGGUAAAAGUUUGGAACUGUUUGAUGAAUUGCAAUCAAACGAUCACAUUUUUACUAGUAUCAACUUAAUAAUUAUAUAAGAGACAUUACUAAUGAUGUUGGUUUUUUUAUUUUGUUUUCAUUGUUUUAAUUCUUAUAUAUUUUUGUGACUUUUUAAAUGGUUUUUAUUUCAGUUUUUUUAUUCAUUUUGUUUUCAUUUGUUUGAAUUCUUAUAUAUUUUUGUGACUUUUUAAAAGGUUUUUAUUUCAGUUUUAUAUUGAAUUUACGUCACAUAGUUUACGUUUACAUAAUUUAUGUUUUAAAAAAUAACUUCUCUUAAAAAAAUAAAUUAAGAAAACCCUAAUUAAACUGA